CAUAGCCAAUUCAAUAAAGAUGUCAUAGAUUACAAUACAAACUUCAUUAUUCCAACUGAAAUUAAAAUAUAAACUUCAAAGGCUAACAACAUGCUGCAGCCUUUGUUCUUAUUCUAAACAGAAAUUUUAAAAAAAAAGUCACACACUUUCUUCACAUCAACACAAAGCUCUUCAACAUAGGAAUCUAAACUUCAUGUUCAUUACCUGAAAUUUUCAAUAUAGGGGUGAGCUUCAAUAGCUCAGUAGGAGGCCAAGCCUCUUUAUAUUACAGAAACCAAUAAUGAUAAUGCAUGAAUGCAAUGAGCCCUUCAACAAUAACCCCUCACUCAAACCAUGAUUCCAUUUUUGUUAGUCCUCUUGUUUAACCUCGAUCACCAAAAUCAUAUAGCCAUAUUAGCCCACCUGAUACUUGGUCCCUACGAAUUAAACUCAACUACACAAAAACAUUCUCCCACAAAUUCCAUUCCCAAUUUCACCCAACUUCUGCCUCAAUUUUUAUAUUUAUGAACAUGAGGAAAUAAAACUCAAUCAAGUUUCAUAAACAAAAUCAUAUAACAAAACAUAAGCGAAAAACACAACAAAUUGCACAAAACUUCAUUACAUAUAGCAAACCAACACAACAAAUUUCACAGAGAUUCAUCAUAAAUAGCAACCCAGAAAAUCAACACACAAUAAAUUAAAUAGAGGUUCCCCGAAUUCCCCCUACCUCAAUUCAGAGCUAUGCUUUUACUUCCCGGAUACCUCGUUCACAAAAUUCUCUCCCUCACUCCUUUUAUUUUCUUUUCGUAAAACAGAUAAUAGACAACUCAAUGAAUAAUAAGAAAACCAAACCUGGGUAUUUAUAGGAUUAUGCAAACAGGUCAGAAUUCACUUCGAGAUAAAAUGGGAUCAAUGCCAGCUCGAUCAAAAUCGCUACCUCCUGCUUCCGGUAACUGAAUCUCCAAGUCUUCUUCCAUAACCUUGACAGCUCCAGCUUCCGAGAUUAUUCGGUUUUAUCCUCGUAGUGGUUCUGAUCUUCUAAUAUAGGUGGAGUGGUGUUUGUAGAGAGCACAAGAAUGGAGACGAAGACCAUGAAGAUGGCAGAGGACAAUUGUGAAGGGAGUGAAGAGAGCAGAAGACGAAUAGAGUUGAACACAUGUAUAUGUCGUCCUUCCACAAGUACCACUGAUCUCUUGGCUUAGGUGGAGUGGUGUUUGCAAAGAGGAUUAGAAUGGGAGGAUGAAGAAGAUAGCAGAAGAUAGUGUUGAACAAAUUGGUUUGUCGUCAAACAACAUCCAACUGAAGUAGAAGCAUUCUAAUGGUCUUGGGCUUUUUAAAGACAAUUGGACUUGGGUUUAAAAACAAAACC
RNAcentral lists this long non-coding RNA (1348 nucleotides) under Fragaria vesca (wild strawberry). RNAcentral describes it as "long non-coding RNA (FVES_LNC001663)". Lineage: Eukaryota; Viridiplantae; Streptophyta; Magnoliopsida; Rosales; Rosaceae. The record is from RNAcentral.